GCCGCCGCGAGGCGGGGUCUGAAGGAAGCGGUACGCAAAUCCCCGGCCCGAAGAACAUGAAGCGCAUACGAGGCAGCCGCGUCUGGGCGAGAAGGCAAAGAAAUUCAAAGCCCGAUAGUCAUCCGGAAGGCGCGGAAGUAGAUGCGACGGGUACAUGGGGAGAAAGUGGGUGCGC
Molecule: non-coding RNA, 175 nt
Organism: Nitrospirae bacterium GWC2_57_13
Lineage: Bacteria; Pseudomonadati; Nitrospirota
Source: Rfam